RNAcentral lists this ribosomal RNA (50 nucleotides) under Nassauvia aculeata. RNAcentral describes it as "25S ribosomal RNA". Lineage: Eukaryota; Viridiplantae; Streptophyta; Magnoliopsida; Asterales; Asteraceae. RNAcentral also lists the same sequence under 3 other names. The record is from RNAcentral.
GUGACCCCAGGUCAGGCGGGACCACCCGCUGAGUUUAAGCAUAUCAAUAA